This 719-nucleotide ribosomal RNA is filed under the name Bacillus aerius. RNAcentral's name for it is "bacterial SSU rRNA". It matches the Rfam family "Bacterial small subunit ribosomal RNA", at positions 154 to 858 of the family's 1533-position model. Lineage: Bacteria; Bacillati; Bacillota; Bacilli; Caryophanales; Bacillaceae. The record is from RNAcentral.
AAACCGGAGCUAAUACCGGAUAGUUCCUUGAACCGCAUGGUUCAAGGAUGAAAGACGGUUUCGGCUGUCACUUACAGAUGGACCCGCGGCGCAUUAGCUAGUUGGUGAGGUAACGGCUCACCAAGGCGACGAUGCGUAGCCGACCUGAGAGGGUGAUCGGCCACACUGGGACUGAGACACGGCCCAGACUCCUACGGGAGGCAGCAGUAGGGAAUCUUCCGCAAUGGACGAAAGUCUGACGGAGCAACGCCGCGUGAGUGAUGAAGGUUUUCGGAUCGUAAAGCUCUGUUGUUAGGGAAGAACAAGUGCAAGAGUAACUGCUUGCACCUUGACGGUACCUAACCAGAAAGCCACGGCUAACUACGUGCCAGCAGCCGCGGUAAUACGUAGGUGGCAAGCGUUGUCCGGAAUUAUUGGGCGUAAAGGGCUCGCAGGCGGUUUCUUAAGUCUGAUGUGAAAGCCCCCGGCUCAACCGGGGAGGGUCAUUGGAAACUGGGAAACUUGAGUGCAGAAGAGGAGAGUGGAAUUCCACGUGUAGCGGUGAAAUGCGUAGAGAUGUGGAGGAACACCAGUGGCGAAGGCGACUCUCUGGUCUGUAACUGACGCUGAGGAGCGAAAGCGUGGGGAGCGAACAGGAUUAGAUACCCUGGUAGUCCACGCCGUAAACGAUGAGUGCUAAGUGUUAGGGGGUUUCCGCCCCUUAGUGCUGCAGCUAACGC